Molecule: transfer RNA, 62 nt
Filed under: Cordylochernes scorpioides
Lineage: Eukaryota; Metazoa; Arthropoda; Arachnida; Pseudoscorpiones; Chernetidae
Description: tRNA-Gly
Source: RNAcentral
AGGAUAGGCCGGGAAUCGAACCCUGCCCGCGUGGCAGGCGAGCAUUCUACCACUGAACCACC